CCCAUGUGAAGCUGCAGUUAAUACGCCAACCACACAUCCAGCGCAAUGGUACAGUGGGACAGGGAUGCAAAUCGUUUGGAACUGAAUUCAACAUAAUCUUGUUCCAGUUAACAAGUUUUUCUGAUGCCUAAAUAUGGGAAAAAGAGAUUUAUUUGCAAGGAAAGCAGAAACAAGGACGGGCCGCAUCCUGGAUCAAAAAACAUUUUCCGAUUUUAUUGGUUCGGGAGGGACCAAGUAGGGUUUCGUCAUAAUAUAUAAAAAAUCCUUGGGAACAAUUUAACGUGACAAUAUGACAAACCAGAAAAUUCUUUGUACCU
Molecule: long non-coding RNA, 317 nt
Organism: Daphnia carinata
Lineage: Eukaryota; Metazoa; Arthropoda; Branchiopoda; Diplostraca; Daphniidae
Exons: 3
Source: RefSeq, a predicted model, not a curated record